This 58-nucleotide transfer RNA is filed under the name Apaloderma vittatum (bar-tailed trogon). It matches the Rfam family "tRNA", at positions 8 to 63 of the family's 71-position model. From Rfam's summary of the family: Transfer RNA (tRNA) molecules are approximately 80 nucleotides in length. The record is from Rfam by way of RNAcentral. Lineage: Eukaryota; Metazoa; Chordata; Aves; Trogoniformes; Trogonidae.
UAGCUCAGUCAGUUGAGCGUGGCGCUAGCAAUGCCAGGGUCGCGGGUUCAAUUCCUGU